This is a non-coding RNA of Propithecus coquereli (Coquerel's sifaka), 488 nucleotides long. NCBI's taxonomy places the organism in Eukaryota, Metazoa, Chordata, Mammalia, Primates, Indriidae. The record is from the annotation of a RefSeq genome assembly.
GACUCCUCAGUCCAACUUCUGAAAAUGAGGCUCCCUGCUCUCAGCUCCUGGGGCUGCUGGUGCUCUGGGUCCCUGGAUCCAGUGGGGAGAUUGUGAUGACCCAGACGCCACUCUCCCUACCUGUCACCCUUGGAGAGCCGGCCUCCAUCUCCUGCAGGUCUAGUCAGAGCCUCCUGCAUAGCAAUGGAAACACCUAUUUGAGUUGGUACCUGCAGAAGCCAGGCCAGUCUCCACAGCUCCUGAUCUAUUUGGGUUUCACCCGGGCCUCUGGGGUCCCAGACAGGUUCAGUGGCAGCGGAUCAGGCACAGACUUUACACUGAAGAUUAGCAAGGUGGAGGCUGAGGAUGUCGGGGUUUAUUACUGCAUGCAAACUAUACAAGUUCCUCCCACAGUGGUAAAGCCCCAAACAGAAACCUCCUUGCUGGGUGGCCCAGCUGCCCACCAGUGUUGUUUGCCUGGUGAGCAGGCGCCACAGAGCACGUUGUAG